UACGUAGGGGGCUAGCGUUGUCCGGAAUCAUUGGGCGUAAAGCGCGUGUAGGCGGUCCGGUAAGUCCGCUGUGAAAGUCGGGGGCUCAACCCUCGAAUGCCGGUGGAUACUGUCGGGCUAGAGUGCGGAAGAGGCGAGUGGAAUUCCUGGUGUAGCGGUGAAAUGCGCAGAUAUCAGGAGGAACACCAAUUGCGAAGGCAGCUCGCUGGGACGUUACUGACGCUGAGACGCGAAAGCGUAGGGAGCAAACAGG
This 253-nucleotide ribosomal RNA is filed under the name uncultured bacterium. RNAcentral's name for it is "partial 16S ribosomal RNA". It matches the Rfam family "Bacterial small subunit ribosomal RNA", at positions 524 to 776 of the family's 1533-position model. The record is from RNAcentral.